This 253-nucleotide ribosomal RNA is filed under the name uncultured bacterium. RNAcentral's name for it is "partial 16S ribosomal RNA". It matches the Rfam family "Bacterial small subunit ribosomal RNA", at positions 524 to 776 of the family's 1533-position model. The record is from RNAcentral.
UACGGAGGAGGCAAGCGUUAUCCGGAAUUAUUGUGCGUAAAGCGUCCGUAGGUGGUUGACCAAGUCUGCUGUCAAAGGGUGGGGCUUAACCUCAUAAAGGCAGUGGAAACUGGUGAGCUAGAGUGCGGUAGGGGUAAGGGGAAUUCCCAGUGUAGCGGUGAAAUGCGUAGAGAUUGGGAAGAACAUCGGUGGCGAAAGCGCCUUGCUGGGCCUGCACUGACUAUGAGGGACGAAAGCUAGGGGAGCGAAAGGG